Molecule: non-coding RNA, 75 nt
Organism: Nicotiana attenuata
Lineage: Eukaryota; Viridiplantae; Streptophyta; Magnoliopsida; Solanales; Solanaceae
Source: Rfam
AGGACUGUAGUUCAAUCGGUCAGAGCACCACCCCUGUCAAGGUGGAAGCUGCAGGUUCUAGCCUUGUCAGUCCCA